GGGGUUGUAGGACACUCUAUACGGAGUUACAAAAGAAAGUUAUAAAUGAAGCGGUCUGGAAAGGCCCGCCAAAGACGGUAACAGCCCGGUAGUUGAAAUAGCUUUCCCUCCAGAGUGGAUCCUGAGUACGGCGGAACACGUGAAAUUCCGUCGGAAUCCGGGAGGACCAUCUCCCAAGGCUAAAUACUCCCUAGUGACCGAUAGUGAACCAGUACCGUGAGGGAAAGGUGAAAAGCACCCCGGAAGGGGAGUGAAACAGUUCCUGAAACCGUGUGCCUACAAGUAGUUAGAGCCCGUUAAUGGGUGAUAGCGUGCCUUUUGUAGAAUGAACCGGCGAGUUACGAUUUGUUGCAAGGUUAAGCGGAAAAAGCGGAGCCGUAGCGAAAGCGAGUCUGAAUAGGGCGCAUAAGUAACAGGUCGUAGACCCGAAACCAGGUGAUCUACCCAUGUCCAGGAUGAAGGUAAGGUAAUACUUACUGGAGGUCCGAACCCACGCACGUUGAAAAGUGCGGGGAUGAGGUGUGGGUAGCGGAGAAAUUCCAAUCGAACUUGGAGAUAGCUGGUUCUCUCCGAAAUAGCUUUAGGGCUAGCCUCGAGGUAAAGAGUCAUGGAGGUAGAGCACUGUUUGGACUAGGGGCCCUUCUCGGGUUACCGAAUUCAGAUAAACUCCGAAUGCCAUGUACUUAUACUCGGGAGUCAGACUGCGAGUGAUAAGAUCCGUAGUCGAAAGGGAAACAGCCCAGACCACCAGUUAAGGUCCCCAAAUAUAUGUUAAGUGGAAAAGGAUGUGGGGUUGCUUAGACAACCAGGAUGUUGGCUUAGAAGCAGCCACCAUUGAAAGAGUGCGUAA
RNAcentral lists this ribosomal RNA (850 nucleotides) under Listeria monocytogenes. RNAcentral describes it as "partial 23S ribosomal RNA". It matches the Rfam family "Bacterial large subunit ribosomal RNA", at positions 294 to 1137 of the family's 2925-position model. Lineage: Bacteria; Bacillati; Bacillota; Bacilli; Caryophanales; Listeriaceae. The record is from RNAcentral.